AAAGGCAAUUGUUUAUUUUCCUGCCGAACUAAAAUGUGAUACAAUGAUACAUACCUGUGAUAUGCAACACCUGCAGUAGCGAAUAAAGUCCUGUGCCCACUGUCCAGGUUGACUUUCAGUGAGGAGACGUGGCUUUUAACUCCUUCACAGAAGAAGUACACCAAUUGCAUCAACAGCUCCAGACUUGUUGGUCAUCAACCACAAAACAGUCCAGCAGCAACCCGGUGGGGAUUUUAACAAAAAGGAUGAACUAGAAUAUAAUUGUGCAAGAAAUACCAACUUGAAGAUGUGAUGCUGGCGCGGUAUCAGUGAGCCUGGUUUCUAAUGUA
Molecule: long non-coding RNA, 329 nt
Organism: Polypterus senegalus (gray bichir)
Lineage: Eukaryota; Metazoa; Chordata; Cladistia; Polypteriformes; Polypteridae
Exons: 4
Source: RefSeq, a predicted model, not a curated record